RNAcentral lists this transfer RNA (108 nucleotides) under Ipomoea nil (Japanese morning glory). It matches the Rfam family "tRNA". From Rfam's summary of the family: Transfer RNA (tRNA) molecules are approximately 80 nucleotides in length. Lineage: Eukaryota; Viridiplantae; Streptophyta; Magnoliopsida; Solanales; Convolvulaceae. The record is from Rfam by way of RNAcentral.
GUGGGCAUGCCGGAGUGUUUAUCGGGUAUAACUUGAAAUCAUGUGGGCUGGGUAUAACUUGAAAUCAUGUGGGCUUUGCCCGCGCAGGUUCGAAUCAUGCUGCUCACG